Molecule: non-coding RNA, 222 nt
Filed under: Metalysinibacillus saudimassiliensis
Lineage: Bacteria; Bacillati; Bacillota; Bacilli; Caryophanales; Caryophanaceae
Source: RNAcentral
GUAAAUGCAGUGAUUAGGAUAUGGAUUUUAUCACACGACUUAACAGAGAGGGAAGGCUUGGCUGUAAACUUCCUAAGUACGCGGUAAUUAUUUACUCCCUAUGAGCAGCAAGAGGGUUAAAUCUCUUGCCGUCCCCAGCACGUUAGCUGAUGUAGGAGCUUCGUCUGAACUUUGUUCGGAAGGAAGAAGGGUGGAACCACGAGCACAAGCCUCGUCCCUUUU